AUUGAACGCUGGCGGCAUGCCUUACACAUGCAAGUCGAACGGCAGCACGGGAGCAAUCCUGGUGGCGAGUGGCGAACGGGUGAGUAAUACAUCGGAACGUGCCCAGUAGUGGGGAUAACCGGCGAAAGCCGGACUAAUACCGCAUACGACCUACGGGUGAAAGCAGGGAUCGCAAGACCUUGCGCUAUCGGAGCGGCCGAUGUCAGAUUAGCUUGUUGGCGGGGUAAAAGCCCACCAAGGCGACGAUCUGUAGCUGGUCUGAGAGGACGACCAGCCACACUGGGACUGAGAC
RNAcentral lists this ribosomal RNA (292 nucleotides) under uncultured bacterium. RNAcentral describes it as "partial 16S ribosomal RNA". It matches the Rfam family "Bacterial small subunit ribosomal RNA", at positions 30 to 325 of the family's 1533-position model. The record is from RNAcentral.